GGGGAUUUAGCUCAGCGGCAUAAGCACCUGCCUUGCAAGCAGGCCGCUGUGAGUUCAAUCCCUG
Molecule: transfer RNA, 64 nt
Filed under: Cavia porcellus (domestic guinea pig)
Lineage: Eukaryota; Metazoa; Chordata; Mammalia; Rodentia; Caviidae
Rfam family: tRNA
About the family: Transfer RNA (tRNA) molecules are approximately 80 nucleotides in length. Their secondary structure includes four short double-helical elements and three loops (D, anti-codon, and T loops).
Source: Rfam by way of RNAcentral